Nanorana parkeri is the source of this 2041-nucleotide long non-coding RNA. RefSeq lists it as uncharacterized. Lineage: Eukaryota; Metazoa; Chordata; Amphibia; Anura; Dicroglossidae. The transcript has 2 exons. The record is from RefSeq and is a predicted model, not a curated record.
UAUGCUGGAACAGACUGGGUGUAGAUGGCCUCCUGGUGGAACAGACCAGGUGUAGAUGGCCUCUUGGUUGAUCAGACCAGGUGUAGAUGGCCUCAUGGUGGAACAGACCAGGUGUAGAUGGCCUCUUGGAGGAACAGAACAGGUGUAGAUGGCCUCCUGGUGGAACAGACCAGGUGUAGAUGGCCUCUUGGUUGAUCAGACCAGGUGUAGAUGGCCUCAUGGUGGAACAGACCAGUUGUAGUUGGCCUCUUGGUGGAACAGACCAGGUGUAGUUGGCCUCUUAGUGGAACAGACCAGGUGUACAUGGCUUCAUGGUGGAGGAGACCAGGUGUAGAUGGCCUCUUGGUGGAAUAGACCAGGUGUACAUGGCUUUAUGGUGGAACAGACCAGGUGUAGUUGGCCUCUUAGUGGAACAGACCAGGUGUACAUGGCUUCAUGGUGGAGGAGACCAGGUGUAGAUGGCCUCUUGGUGGAAUAGACCAGGUGUACAUGGCUUUAUGGUGGAACAGACCAGGUGUAGUUGGCCUCUUAGUGGAACAGACCAGGUGUACAUGGCUUCAUGGUGGAGGAGACCAGGUGUAGAUGGCCUCUUGGUGGAAUAGACCAGGUGUACAUGGCUUUAUGGUGGAACAGACCAGGUGUAGUUGGCCUCUUAGUGGAACAGACCAGGUGUACAUGGCUUCAUGGUGGAGGAGACCAGGUGUAGAUGGCCUCUUGGUGGAAUAGACCAGGUGUACAUGGCUUUAUGGUGGAACAGACCAGGUGUAGUUGGCCUCUUAGUGGAACAGACCAGGUGUACAUGGCUUCAUGGUGGAGGAGACCAGGUGUAGAUGGCCUCUUGGUGGAAUAGACCAGGUGUACAUGGCUUUAUGGUGGAACAGACCAGGUGUAGUUGGCCUCUUAGUGGAACAGACCAGGUGUACAUGGCUUCAUGGUGGAGGAGACCAGGUGUAGAUGGCCUCUUGGUGGAAUAGACCAGGUGUACAUGGCUUUAUGGUGGAACAGACCAGGUGUAGUUGGCCUCUUAGUGGAACAGACCAGGUGUACAUGGCUUCAUGGUGGAGGAGACCAGGUGUAGAUGGCCUCUUGGUGGAAUAGACCAGGUGUACAUGGCUUUAUGGUGGAACAGACCAGGUGUAGUUGGCCUCUUAGUGGAACAGACCAGGUGUACAUGGCUUCAUGGUGGAGGAGACCAGGUGUAGAUGGCCUCUUGGUGGAAUAGACCAGGUGUACAUGGCUUUAUGGUGGAACAGACCAGGUGUAGUUGGCCUCUUAGUGGAACAGACCAGGUGUACAUGGCUUCAUGGUGGAGGAGACCAGGUGUAGAUGGCCUCUUGGUGGAAUAGACCAGGUGUACAUGGCUUUAUGGUGGAACAGACCAGGUGUAGUUGGCCUCUUAGUGGAACAGACCAGGUGUACAUGGCUUCAUGGUGGAAGAGACCAGGUGUAGUUGGCCUCUUGGUAGAACAGACCAGGUGUAGAUGGUCUCAUGAAGGGACAGACUGGGUGUAAAUGCCAGCAGUCAAAACAAGGUACUCUAGAGGGUCCCCUAGGUGAGCAGGCCAGGCAUUGAGCAUUCUGAGCCGAUUAAUUUCUCUCUGCCAGCCUUCAAUAUUUCAGUAUCUCAAUGGUCUGCUGGCACGCGCUCUUCGCAUGGUUCUCCGCCACGUCGUGCUCAUGGUGGCCCGUUCUGCUGUCUCCAGUGACGUAACGUCAUCUACGUGUGUAUACCUGGUGGUCUUCCAGCCUUGUGUGUGUGCGUGUGUGUUCUGACAUGUGAGCCUUGCGCAUCUCCUUCCCAUUGAUGGAAGGGUGGCCAGGGUUGGCUGUGCCCCAGUCAUGCCCAGCCCUGCCCAUCUUCUCUGUGAGAAUGUAACCAGCCACGUGGUAGCAGUACGUGGUGUGUGGUAUUUUUCUGUUCUGUAUUCGGGGGGGGGAUCGGGGGUUGGGAGUUCACUUGCAGGAAUGUGGGAACUGGUCUAUGCAUGGGGGUUUCCGGGCUCUUGUGUUUGAGAUUCUAUUAUUAAAUAUAGUUUUCUGG